GUUACUUGAACACAAGUACUGCAGUACCACAAUGGUCGAUUGGAUAAGGAAGAUGGCUACUAAGUAACUAACCAGCAGAUAGCACAUAGAGCAUGGAUACCUUGGACUAAGGGGUCUUCAGGUGACUUUGUAUGAAGGCACAUGGAAAUUCAGCAUCCUGGUAGUUGGAAACAACUGAAACAUCCAAACUGGAGCUUGGCCGCACACUGCCCUGUGUCUGGGCACUAUUGCUAGACUACGUUGACCCGAUCAACUGUCACAGUGGGGGAGUUAUUUCAUGAAAUACAUCGUUUGGAUCUGGAGUGGUUCUCAAAGUGAGGGCUUUUGGAGCUCAUCUUACUAGAGUUCCUGCUUCCUGAUGGUGUGAAGCCCCUCCUAAUUCCCAAAGCCCCGAGUUGCUCCUCACACUUGGGCCCUGAGACCACUAUCUGCUUGUCUCCUGAGUGGAGAUGGAAACAGCUCCAUGGUGAUCACUGAUGGACUAGAGGGAAUACAUGACAGCUACUAGGAUGUCCAUACACAGUAGCACUUCAUAAAUACAGUCGGGAAGAGGAAUGCGCGCAAGCAGGUGUGUCACCAGGCUGAGCAGGUGUUCUAGGUGCCACCAAGAAGCAAGAGGCCCAGGGAUCCAGAAGCUCAAAGGAAAGGGAGUUUUCACACAGCUGAAGUGGGCCGGGUGUCCUCGAUGAUUUCACGGGAGAGGCAUCGCUGGAGGUGACUUUUAAAAUUUCAUGAGAGGCCCUCCCUUCUCUCCAUC
Molecule: non-coding RNA, 757 nt
Organism: Ictidomys tridecemlineatus (thirteen-lined ground squirrel)
Lineage: Eukaryota; Metazoa; Chordata; Mammalia; Rodentia; Sciuridae
Source: RefSeq, a predicted model, not a curated record